AAGGAAAUCAUUGAGAAGUACGAACGAGCUACAAAGGUUGUCAAAGAAAGGCUUUCUGGAGAUGAGAGAUGCUGGGGGCUGCAGGAGAGCCUGGAGGCUGAAGCACUUUUCUUUGUUCAGGACCUCACCAGGGGAGUGAGGCAGUCUUGCUUCAACUCAGCUUCCUGUGCUGUGCUUCCAGUUGAUCUGUGGUAGAGGAAUGACUAUGAUGGUUCUGCAGGUGUGAUGUUCUAGGUAAGGUUGGUUUGAUUUCAUUUGUCUCCCCUCUCACCCACCCACCCACCCUCCCAUCCACACAUUCACCCAUCCACCCACCUAUCCAUCCAU
Long non-coding RNA from Herpailurus yagouaroundi (jaguarundi), 327 nucleotides. RefSeq lists it as uncharacterized. Lineage: Eukaryota; Metazoa; Chordata; Mammalia; Carnivora; Felidae. The transcript is spliced from 3 exons. The record is from RefSeq and is a predicted model, not a curated record.